GAUGAAGAACGCAGUGAAAUGCGAUAAGUAGUGUGAAUUGCAGAAUUCAGUGAAUCAUCGAAUCUUUGAACGCACAUUGCGCCCCUUGGUAUUCCAUGGGGCAUGCCUGUUCGAGCGUCAUUUGUACCUUCAAGCUUUGCUUGGUGUUGGGUGUUUGUCUCGCCUUUGCGUGUAGACUCGCCUUAAAAUAAUUGGCAGCCGGCGUAUUGAUUUCGGAGCGCAGUACAUCUCGCGCUUUGCACUCAUAACGACAGCGUCCAAAAGUACAUUUUACACUCUUGACCUCGGAUCAGGUAGGGAUACCCGCUGAGCUUAAGCAUAUCAAUAAGCGGAGGA
Molecule: unclassified non-coding RNA, 336 nt
Filed under: soil metagenome
Description: partial contains 5.8S ribosomal RNA, internal transcribed spacer 2, and large subunit ribosomal RNA
Rfam family: 5.8S ribosomal RNA (bases 1-120)
Source: RNAcentral